AUUGAACGCUGGCGGCAUGCCUAACACAUGCAAGUCGAACGGCAGCACAGCAGUAGCAAUACUGUGGGUGGCGAGUGGCGGACGGGUGAGGAAUACGUCGGAAUCUGCCCAGUCGUGGGGGAUAACUAGCCGAAAGGUUAGCUAAUACCGCAUACGACCGAGAGGUGAAAGCGGGGGACCGCAAGGCCUCGCGCGAUUGGAUGAGCCGACGUCGGAUUAGCUAGUUGGCGGGGUAAAGGCCCACCAAGGCGACGAUCCGUAGCUGGUCUGAGAGGAUGAUCAGCCACACUGGAACUGAGACACGGUCCAGACUCCUACGGGAGGCAGCAGUGGGGAAUAUUGGACAAUGGGCGCAAGCCUGAUCCAGCAAUGCCGCGUGUGUGAAGAA
RNAcentral lists this ribosomal RNA (388 nucleotides) under uncultured bacterium. Its description in RNAcentral is "bacterial SSU rRNA". It matches the Rfam family "Bacterial small subunit ribosomal RNA", at positions 29 to 412 of the family's 1533-position model. The record is from RNAcentral.